AAUUUUGGACAAUGGGGGAAACCCUGAUCCAGCCAUCCCGCGUGUGCGAUGAAGGCCUUCGGGUUGUAAAGCACUUUUGUCCGGGGAGAUAAGGUUCUGGCUAAUACCCGGAACUGAUGACGGUAGCUGAGGAAUAAUCACCGGCUUAGUACGUCCCAGCAGCUGCGGUAAUACGUAGGGUGCAAGCGUUAAUCGGAAUUACUGGGCGUAAAGCGUGCGCAGGCGGUUCGGAAAGAAGGAUGUGAAAUCCCAGGGCUCAACCUUGGAACUGCAUUCUUAACUACCGAACUAGAGUAUGUCAGAGGGGGGUAGAAUUCCGCGUGUAGCAGUGAAAUGCGUAGAUAUGCGGAGGAAUACCGAUGGAGAAGGCAGCACCCUGGGAUAAUACUGACGCUCAUGCAAGAAAGCGUGGGUAGCAAACAG
Molecule: ribosomal RNA, 423 nt
Filed under: uncultured bacterium
Lineage: Bacteria
Description: partial 16S ribosomal RNA
Rfam family: Bacterial small subunit ribosomal RNA
Source: RNAcentral